This 368-nucleotide ribosomal RNA is filed under the name Chaetodon punctofasciatus (spotband butterflyfish). RNAcentral's name for it is "Chaetodon punctatofasciatus (spotband butterflyfish) partial 12S ribosomal RNA". It matches the Rfam family "Bacterial small subunit ribosomal RNA", at positions 801 to 1372 of the family's 1533-position model. Lineage: Eukaryota; Metazoa; Chordata; Actinopteri; Chaetodontiformes; Chaetodontidae. The record is from RNAcentral.
UAAACAUUGACAGUCAACUACACUCACUGUCCGCCUGGGAACUACGAGCACUAGCUUAAAACCCAAAGGACUUGGCGGUGCUUUAGACCCACCUAGAGGAGCCUGUUCUAGAACCGAUGACCCCCGUUAAACCUCACCCUCCCUUGUUUUAACCCGCCUAUAUACCACCGUCGUCAGCUUACCCUGUGAAGGUCCAAUAGUAAGCACAACCGGCAAUGCCCAAAACGUCAGGUCGAGGUGUAGCGAAUGAGAGGGGAAGAAAUGGGCUACAUUUACUGGUACAGUAAAUACGAAGGACUACCCUGCAACGAGUAUCUGAAGGAGGAUUUAGCAGUAAGCAAAAAACAGAGCGUUUUGCUGAAAUUGGC